GGCGCACGGGUGAGUAACACGUAGGUAAUUUGCCUUCGGGUGGGGAAUAACAGCCGGAAACGGCUGCUAAUACCGCAUAAUGCAGCGGCUCGACAUCGAGACAGUUGUUAAAGCGGGGGAUCGCAAGACCUCGCGCCUGAAGAGAAGCCUGCGGCAGAUUAGCUAGUCGGUAGGGUAAUGGCCUACCAAGGCAACGAUCUGUAACCGGCCUGAGAGGGCGGUCGGUCACACUGACACUGACAUACGGGUCAGACUCCUACGGGAGGCAGCAGUCGGGAAUUUUGGGCAAUGGGCGAAAGCCUGACCCAGCAACGCCGCGUGAAGGAUGAAAUCCCUCGGGAUGUAAACUUCGCAAGAACAGGAAGAAUAAGCGUGGGCUAAUAUCCCACGUGAUGACGGUACUGUUUGUAAGCUCCGGCUAACUCCGUGCCAGCCGCCGCGG
Molecule: ribosomal RNA, 442 nt
Filed under: uncultured bacterium
Lineage: Bacteria
Description: bacterial SSU rRNA
Rfam family: Bacterial small subunit ribosomal RNA
Source: RNAcentral